Molecule: long non-coding RNA, 900 nt
Organism: Oncorhynchus masou masou (cherry salmon)
Lineage: Eukaryota; Metazoa; Chordata; Actinopteri; Salmoniformes; Salmonidae
Exons: 3
Source: RefSeq, a predicted model, not a curated record
UUCACAACUCUUAGUACAAACUCAAAACAUGAAGCCCUCUCUAAGGAGCCCUCAGAGAGGUGGACAUCAGAGAGAUGGAGGCAGGCGGCAGGGAACUGUUGUAUCUAAUGAAGUCCGGUCCAUCGUCGUUGAUCAUGUGGUCAACAGAGGUCUGACCAUGACAGAGGACGACACAUUAGUUCACCCCAAUCUGAAAAGAUCAACUGGCAAAUUCCAUCAUGAGAACAUUUCACUAAGAAAAGCGAAUAGACAGAAGACCCCAUGGUGGUGGUCGCGUGCUGACUGACCAGCAGGAGAGGACAGUGGAGGAAAUGGUGAGGGACAGGAAUGAUACACUGACCAGCAGGAGAGGACAGUGGAGGAAAUGGUGAGGGACAGGAAUGAUACACUGACCAGCAGGAGAGGACAGUGGAGGAAAUGGUGAGGGACAGGAAUGAUACACUGACCAGCAGGAGAGGACAGUGGAGGAAAUGGUGAGGGACAGGAAUGAUACACUGACCAGCAGGAGAGGACAGUGGAGGAAAUGGUGAGGGACAGGAAUGAUACACUGACCAGCAGGAGAGGACAGUGGAGGAAAUGGUGAGGGACAGGAAUGAUACACUGACCAGCAGGAGAGGACAGUGGAGGAAAUGGUGAGGGACAGGAAUGAUACACUGACCAGCAGGAGAGGACAGUGGAGGAAAUGGUGAGGGUCAGGAAUGAUACACUGACCAGCAGGAGAGGACAGUGGAGGAAAUGGUGAGGGACAGGAAUGAUACACUGACCAGCAGGAGAGGACAGUGGAGGAAAUGGUGAGGGACAGGAAUGAUACAUAUACUAUAUACUAUUCAGGUACAUCACUAUAUACUGUAUACUAUUCAGGUACAUCACUAUAUACUAUUCAGGUACAUCACUAUAUAC